RNAcentral lists this ribosomal RNA (498 nucleotides) under uncultured Cystobacterineae bacterium. RNAcentral describes it as "bacterial SSU rRNA". It matches the Rfam family "Bacterial small subunit ribosomal RNA", at positions 904 to 1382 of the family's 1533-position model. Lineage: Bacteria; Pseudomonadati; Myxococcota; Myxococcia; Myxococcales. The record is from RNAcentral.
CCUUGCCAGCCCGCUCAGAACUUAAGGAAUUGACGGGGCCCGCACAAGCGGUGGAGCAUGUGGUUUAAUUCGAUGAUACGCGAGGAACCUUACCUGGGCUCAAAUGUAUGUUGACGUAUUCUGAAAGGGAUACUUCUUCGGACAAUAUACAAGGUGCUGCAUGGUUGUCGUCAGCUCGUGCCGUGAGGUGUCGGGUUAAGUCCCAUAACGAGCGCAACCCCUAUCAUUAGUUGCCAUCAGGUCAAGCUGGGGACUCUAAUGAAACUGCCUACGCAAGUAGUGAGGAAGGUGGGGAUGACGUCAAGUCCUCAUGGCCUUUAUGACCAGGGCUACACACGUACUACAAUGGCCGAUACAAAGGGCAGCGACACUGCGAGGUGAAGCCAAUCCCGUAAAAUCGGUCUCAGUCCGGAUUGGAGUCUGCAACUCGACUCCAUGAAGUUGGAAUCGCUAGUAAUCGUGGAUCAGCAUGCCACGGUGAAUACGUUCCCGGGCCUU